RNAcentral lists this ribosomal RNA (406 nucleotides) under uncultured bacterium. RNAcentral's name for it is "partial 16S ribosomal RNA". It matches the Rfam family "Bacterial small subunit ribosomal RNA", at positions 28 to 526 of the family's 1533-position model. The record is from RNAcentral.
GAUGAACGCUGGCAGCAUGCUUAACACAUCAGCGAUUGAUUGGUGGCGGACGGGUGAGUAACGCGUAACUAGCUUGCCUCCCAGGUAGGGACAACAUUUGGAAACGAAUGCUAAUACCAACUCCAGUGGGAGGGCUUUGCGUCCCAUUAGCUAGUUGGAGAGGUAACGGCUCACCAAGGCGAUGAUGGGUAGCCGGCCUGAGAGGGUGAUCGGCCACAAGGGCACAGAGAAACGGCCAGUACGCAUACGGGAGCCAGCAGUGGGGAAUAUUGGACAAUGGGCCACAGUCUGAACAAGCAAUUCUGUGUGUAAGAUGAUGUUUUCGGAAUGAAAAGGGCUUGCAGUUGGGAAGCGGUACCAACAGAAGAAGCGACGGCUAACUACGUGCCAGCAGCCGCGGUAAUUC